Amphiprion ocellaris (clown anemonefish) is the source of this 1433-nucleotide long non-coding RNA. NCBI's taxonomy places the organism in Eukaryota, Metazoa, Chordata, Actinopteri, Pomacentridae. The record is from Ensembl.
CUUUACAGUACUGUAACAACAUCUCUUCAGUCCUCAACAUGUCAACCAAACAUGCACAAUCAGUGCAUACAGAGCUACACAGAACUGUAGAGAGGAGAGAGGACAGACAGUGGAGAGGACAGAUAGCAGAGAGGACAGACAGUAGAGAGGACAGACAGUAGAAAGAGUAGAGAGGAGAGACAGCAGAGAGAAGAGACAGCAGAGAGGAGAGAGGACAGACAGCGGAGAGGACAGAUAGCAGAGAGGACAGACAGUAGAGAGGACAGACAGUAGAAAGAGUAGAGAGGAGAGACAGCAGAGAGAAGAGACAGUAGAGAGGAGAGACAGCAGAAAGGAGAGACAGAGAAGAGACAGAUGAGAGGAGAGACAACAGAGAGGAGAGACAGAGAAGAGGAGAGACAGCAGAGAGGUGAGACAACAGGGAUAUCGGAGAAGAGAGACAGCAGAGAGUAAAGACAGAGGAGAAGGAGAGAAAGAGGAGAGAGAGGAGAAGAGGAGAGACGUAGAGAGGAGAGACAGAGGAGAAGAGGAGAGACGGCAGAGAGGAGAGACAGCAGAGAGGAGAGACAGGAGGAGAGAGGGAGAGACAGGAGAAAAAAGGAGAGACAGUAGAGAGGAGAGACAGGAGAAAAAAGGAGAGACAGUAGAGAGGAGAGACAGUAGAGAGGAGAGACAGCAGAAAGGAGAGACAGAGAAGAGACAGAUGAGAGGAGAGACAACAGAGAGGAGAGACAGAGAAGAGGAGAGACAGCAGAGAGGUGAGACAACAGGGACAGCGGAGAGGAGAGACAGCAGAGAGUAAAGACAGAGAAGAGACAGCAGAGAGGAGAGACAGGAGGAGACAGCAGUGAGGAGAGACAGAGGAGGAGGAGAGAAAGAGGAGAGAGAGGAGAAGAGGAGAGACCUAGAGCGGAGAGACAGAGGAGAAGAGGAGAGACAGCAGAGAGGAGAGACAGCAGAGAGGAGAGACAGAGGUUUAGAGGAGAGACAGCAGAGAGGAGAGACAGGAGAAGAGGAGAGACAGCAGAGAGGAGAGAGGGAGAGACAGGAGAAAAAAGGAGAGACAGUAGAGAGGAGAGACAGGAGAGAGGAGAGAGGACAGACAGCAGAGAGGAGAGAGGACAGACAGUGGAGAGGAGAGAGGCCAGACAGCGGAGAGGUGAGACAGUGGAGAGGACAGACAGCAGAGAGGACAGACAGCAGAGAGAGUAGAGAGGAGAGACAGCAGAGACAGCAGAGAGGAGAGACAGUAGAGAGGAGAGACAGGAGAGAGGAGAGAGGACAGACAGCAGAGAGGAGAGAGGACAGACAGUGGAGAGGUGAGACAGUGGAGAGGACAAACAGCAGAGAGUAGAGAGGAGAGACAGCAGAGACAGCAGAGAGGAGAGACAGUAGAGAGGAGAGACAGCAGAAAGUAGAGACAGAGAAGAGAG